RNAcentral lists this transfer RNA (73 nucleotides) under Strongylocentrotus purpuratus (purple sea urchin). It matches the Rfam family "tRNA". From Rfam's summary of the family: Transfer RNA (tRNA) molecules are approximately 80 nucleotides in length. Lineage: Eukaryota; Metazoa; Echinodermata; Echinoidea; Camarodonta; Strongylocentrotidae. The record is from Rfam by way of RNAcentral.
GGCAUGGUGGCUCAGUGGUUACAGCGCCCGCCUCAUGAACAGGAGGUCGUGAGUUCGAACCCCGGCCGAGUCA